Molecule: unclassified non-coding RNA, 373 nt
Filed under: Pseudognaphalium oxyphyllum
Lineage: Eukaryota; Viridiplantae; Streptophyta; Magnoliopsida; Asterales; Asteraceae
Description: partial external transcribed spacer
Source: RNAcentral
UGUAAAGGUGCAUGAGUGGUGUUUGGUUUGUUACGGGUGGUUGGCUAUUUGCUUGCGCAACAACUUCUACCUGGCAUACCUCUUCAGUCUUGUGUCAAUGCUUUUAUUGCAUUGAAUGCAUGAUGGGUUUCUUGUGUUGCAUGCCUAAUUAAUGGUAUCACUUGAUGAAUUGGUUUUCCUUUCGUCUGGCAUUGCCUAUGCGAUGUGAGAUGAACCUUGAAGCAGCCUUUGUGAUCCACUCUUUUGAUGCAUACGCAUUGAUUUUGUGGCUCAUUGAGUGUUGCUCGGUCUCAUGGAUACGGAACCUGGUGUGGGCAUGGAAUCUUAAUGGUUCCUUGUUUGCCCAAGUUUAGCUUUUCUAAAACGAUUGUCU